Molecule: ribosomal RNA, 254 nt
Filed under: uncultured bacterium
Lineage: Bacteria
Description: partial 16S ribosomal RNA
Rfam family: Bacterial small subunit ribosomal RNA
Source: RNAcentral
UACGGGGGGAGCAAGCGUUGUUCGGAUUUACUGGGCGUAAAGGGCGCGUAGGCGGCCACCGCAGGUCGACUGUGAAAUCUCUGGGCUUAACCCAGAAAGGUCAGCCGAUACUGCGGGGCUAGAGUGCAGAAGGGGCAACUGGAAUUCUCGGUGUAGCGGUGAAAUGCGUAGAUAUUGGGAAGAACACCUGAGGCGAAGGCGGGUUGCUGGGCUGAUACUGACGCUGAGGCGCGAAAGCGUGGGGAGCGAACAGG